AGAGUUUGAUCCUGGCUCAGGAUGAACGCUGGCGGCGUGCCUAACACAUGCAAGUCGAACGAAGCACUUACAGCAUAUCUUUUCGGAGUGAAGCAGUUUGUGACUUAGUGGCGGACGGGUGAGUAACGCGUGGGUAACCUGCCUUACACAGGGGGAUAACAGUUAGAAAUGACUGCUAAUACCGCAUAAGCGCACAGCAUCGCAUGGUGCAGUGUGAAAAGCCUUAACGGUGUAAGAUGGACCCGCGUCUGAUUAGCUGGUUGGUGAGGUAACGGCCCACCAAGGCGACGAUCAGUAGCCGGCCUGAGAGGGUGAACGGCCACAUUGGGACUGAGACACGGCCCAAACUCCUACGGGAGGCAGCAGUGGGGAAUAUUGGACAAUGGGGGAAACCCUGAUCCAGCGACGCCGCGUGAGUGAAGAAGUAUUUCGGUAUGUAAAGCUCUAUCAGCAGGGAAGAUAAUGACGGUACCUGACUAAGAAGCACCGGCUAAAUACGUGCCAGCAGCCGCGGUAAUACGUAUGGUGCAAGCGUUAUCCGGAUUUACUGGGUGUAAAGGGAGCGUAGACGGACGGCUAAGUCUGAUGUGAAAGGUGGGGGCUCAACCCCCAAACUGCAUUGGAAACUGGUCAUCUAGAGUGUCGGAGAGGUAAGUGGAAUUCCUAGUGUAGCGGUGAAAUGCGUAGAUAUUAGGAGGAACACCGGUGGCGAAGGCGGAUUCCUUGAACGGUACUGACGCUGAGGCGCGAAAGUCGGGGGAGCAAACAGGAUUAGAUACCCUGGUAGUCCCGACCUUAAACGGUGCACACUCGGGGGUGGGGGCAUU
RNAcentral lists this ribosomal RNA (827 nucleotides) under uncultured bacterium. RNAcentral describes it as "bacterial SSU rRNA". It matches the Rfam family "Bacterial small subunit ribosomal RNA", at positions 8 to 833 of the family's 1533-position model. The record is from RNAcentral.